UGGAAUAACCUCUGUCAUUUGGAAAAAUAUCUCAAUGGUACCUCAUCUACAGAAAUCAUUGCUACAGGCCUUUGUAUUUAUUUAAUUCAGCACAUUUAUACCAGAAAAUACAAAUUCUAAUACCUGACAAUGUAUUUACUAGUAGGAAACUCAGUAAAAUCACAUAGCCAGGUAUCAGUUUCACUUAAUGGUACUUCACUCAGGGUUGUCAGAAGAAUUAAAUGAAAUAAUGUCUUAAAAAGAGUCUGGGCACCCAGUUGAUAAAUGCCACUUUCCCUUUCCUUGCCUUCUGUAUGUUUCUUUAGGCUCUGACUUACAGGUUUUUUGACUUUCAACUGGCAUUUAAAAAUUAUAUCUAAAUUAUUAAGUUUCUUAGUUGGUCACUUAAAAAUCAAAGUAGAAAAGGGAUUUGUGGACAGACAUGUCAACAACAAAAGGGACAGUGACAGCAAGGAAAC
This 458-nucleotide long non-coding RNA is filed under the name Marmota monax (woodchuck). The record is from RNAcentral. Lineage: Eukaryota; Metazoa; Chordata; Mammalia; Rodentia; Sciuridae.